AAUGACAUGUCACCAUUUACAACCUUUACUCAAGUUCAAGCUUUAUCACAAAUUAUUAAUUCAUUCUCAUUCUUUCAUGGAUUAUAAUCAUUAUAAUUACUAAUUUAACCCCAACUUAGUUUAGCUUUAUUCACAACUUGAUUUAACAUUCUCAUUUAAUAGCUAUAGUGGCCCAAAUUCAUCCGGCCUAGAAAAAAAAACAAAAAAAUAUUAACAUCAAAGUCCACUUAAAAAAAACAACAGAUUUGCCCAAAUUACAAGCCCAAACAUAAACUACCCUAACCCAAACCUACUAAACCCAAUAACUCAGCAGCACAAAAACUCAAAACCUAAAAAUUUUCAGAAACCUUAGCUCCCUCUUUAACUCCC
RNAcentral lists this long non-coding RNA (369 nucleotides) under Gossypium raimondii (Peruvian cotton). Its description in RNAcentral is "long non-coding RNA (GRAI_LNC006596)". The record is from RNAcentral. Lineage: Eukaryota; Viridiplantae; Streptophyta; Magnoliopsida; Malvales; Malvaceae.